This 465-nucleotide long non-coding RNA is filed under the name Elaeis guineensis (African oil palm). RNAcentral's name for it is "long non-coding RNA (EGUI_LNC014343)". Lineage: Eukaryota; Viridiplantae; Streptophyta; Magnoliopsida; Arecales; Arecaceae. The record is from RNAcentral.
AAGGUGUAUAUGACAUACUAACCCGAUUAGAGAUGGAUGAAAAUUCAGAUCUACAUGAAGAGAAAGUAUUUCAAGAGGAAGAACAAACAUUGAUCGAGCUCCUUGUUGAUGAAAAACUUAUGACAACUCCUUUGAAUAGGGCUGAUCUACCAUCUAACAAAGUUGAAGCUGAUUUUAUAUUUAAUCUUGAUGAUUCAGAGGAUGACGAUCAGUUCAUAAAUAACGAUAAGAUAGAAGAUGAUACAUUAGUUGAUUAUUGUGAUUUGGAGGAGGACCUAUAAAUCGAAGAGGAUACGGAUGUUGAUGAGUAGAUCUAUAUUCUUUGUUGAAUCUUCUCUUGCAAUAAUGGUAUGUAAUAUAAUUUUAUUCAUUGGCAUUUAUGUAUUUUUCACUAUUAUUGUUCAUUGUUACAUUUAUUUAUAUGUCAAGGUAAUUAUAUGCAUGGUUUAAGCAUUGCUGGUAUGG